Molecule: long non-coding RNA, 221 nt
Organism: Perognathus longimembris pacificus (Pacific pocket mouse)
Lineage: Eukaryota; Metazoa; Chordata; Mammalia; Rodentia; Heteromyidae
Exons: 3
Source: RefSeq, a predicted model, not a curated record
CACACACACACACACACACACACACACACACCCACACUCGCAGCGACAUCCUCCCUACACCACCACCACCACCACCACAGUGUGGACGUGCAGAGUGGGGUCCUCCACUCCCAAGACCCAAACAAAGAAUUAUUUCCACGUCUGACCGGAACACGAUGACACCGGAUUCACCCAUGAAAACAAAACCUGCCUGCCAUCAGCAAGUCAGCCCGUCAGCAGCC